Triticum aestivum (bread wheat) is the source of this 115-nucleotide non-coding RNA. NCBI's taxonomy places the organism in Eukaryota, Viridiplantae, Streptophyta, Magnoliopsida, Poales, Poaceae. The record is from Rfam.
UACGUACUCCCUCUGUUUCCAAUUACUCGUCGCUGAAAUGGAUGUAUCUAGAACUAAAAUACAUCUAGAUACAUCCAUACGUGCGACAAGUAAUUCGGAGCGGAGGGAGUAGAUC